GCAACGAGCGCAACCCACGUCUUUAGUUGCCAGCAUUCAGUUGGGCACUCUAGAGAGACCGCCGGUGAUAAACCGGAGGAAGGUGUGGAUGACGUCAAGUCAUCAUGCCCCUUACAUCCUGGGCUACACACGUACUACAAUGCUACGGACAAAGGGCAGCAAACUCGCGAGAGCUAGCAAAUCCCAUAAACCGUGGCUCAGUUCAGAUCGUAGGCUGCAACUCGCCUACGUGAAGGAGGAAUCGCUAGUAAUCGCAGGUCAGCAUACUGCGGUGAAUACGUUCCCGGGCCUUGUACACACCGCCCGUCACACCAUGAAGUGGCCAUG
This 327-nucleotide ribosomal RNA is filed under the name uncultured Synechococcus sp. Its description in RNAcentral is "bacterial SSU rRNA". It matches the Rfam family "Bacterial small subunit ribosomal RNA", at positions 1089 to 1418 of the family's 1533-position model. The record is from RNAcentral. Lineage: Bacteria; Bacillati; Cyanobacteriota; Cyanophyceae; Synechococcales; Synechococcaceae.